Long non-coding RNA from Lagenorhynchus albirostris (white-beaked dolphin), 1303 nucleotides. RefSeq lists it as uncharacterized. NCBI's taxonomy places the organism in Eukaryota, Metazoa, Chordata, Mammalia, Artiodactyla, Delphinidae. The record is from RefSeq and is a predicted model, not a curated record. The transcript has 6 exons.
AACAAUUUUUCCACAGACGGGGGGUGGAGGGUAAUGGUUCAGGCGGUAAUGCAAGCGAUGGGGAGCAAUAGGUGAAGCUUUGCUCGCUUGCCAGCUGCUCACCUGCCGUGUGGCCCGGUUCCUAACGUUCAGUUAUUUCGCCUUCAUCAGUUGUCUUUGUCACCGAGAGAACCGCUAAGGAAUGAAAGAGUUUAAACCCUUUACUUCGGACCACACUCAGCCUGUCUGCAUCCCUCUGAUUCAACCACCAAGGGAGGAGGGAGGCGUCCUGGGGCUGCUGCUCCCCACUGACACCCACCCUGUCUAGCAUGCUUUUGGUCUCCAGGAUUUUACCAGGCACAUCAUAGCCUUCUUGGACAAUUUUAAACAGCAAGAUCACCAACAAAAAGCACAAAAGUGUCACUAAAUAGGCCACGAAAAGGACCAUUUUUUUACAGUAUGUGAACUGAAACAAGAUGGCAGAACAGCACCUUGUCCAACCUAAGCUGGCGAUACUGCAGUGAAGACUCCUGGGUAUAAAUCUUGGCACAGAUCCAUGAUCAUUCUCCUUCUAGUAAACACCAAGAGGUGGAAUUGUGGAGUCAGAAGGUGAGGUCACAGUGAGAAGGUGGCCAUGUACAAGCCAGAAAGGGACAGCUAUCACCAGAAACCGACCAUCGAUCAUGCUAGCAUCCUGAUCUUGAACUUCCGUCCUCCAGAACUCCACAAGAUGUUGGUGUGUGAGCCGUGCCGUGUCUAUGUGGAGCGAACCUCCCACAGAUCUUCAAUGGACAUUAAAUAUGGAAUAAUGAGACACAGGUAAAGAAACUUGUCCAAGUUCAGACAAGACCCUCGGAGAAGGUCAGGUAAGCUUUCUGAGACCACACAGCAAGCGAGUGGCGCAGCAAGUACUGAAAGCGAUGUUUGUCUCUCCCUCUCCUGCCAAGAAGAACUGCCAGGGGUCCCUGAGAAAGCAGAACAUGGGGAAGAGGGAAGGGAGAAGGCUGCGUCUGCGCGCCUGCUGGGAAGCGGGGGCUUCCGGAGCUGCAGGGUCGCUAUAGCGGGUGUGAUGCAAUCACGCCCGUCGCUGCGUCAAAGGGCGGCUCCCGGGAUGCGGGGACUGCAGUAGAGGUGGUCCCCACCGCCGCCCACCUCGCCUCUGCCGCCCACCGCGGCUAACCCGGCAGGCAACCGCUGCCGCUAACCUUCGUCCAGAGUCAGGACCACCGCCCCGGAGCCACCAGCGACACCGACAACAUCUCUCAGCCACCGGCGACUCUGACAACCGCCCCCAGGUACCGGUGGUCCCUGACAACCACUCCGA